Molecule: small RNA, 28 nt
Filed under: Bombyx mori (domestic silkworm)
Lineage: Eukaryota; Metazoa; Arthropoda; Insecta; Lepidoptera; Bombycidae
Description: ovarian small RNA-2990
Source: RNAcentral
UACUCGCGGAAAGCUGCAGGGAUACUCC